GCAGGGAUACCGAAGUGGUCAAACGGGUGCGGCUUAGGACCGCAUGGCUUAGGCCUUCGCAGGUUCGAAUCCUGCUCCCUGCA
This 83-nucleotide transfer RNA is filed under the name Candidatus Woesearchaeota archaeon. RNAcentral describes it as "tRNA-Leu". It matches the Rfam family "tRNA". From Rfam's summary of the family: Transfer RNA (tRNA) molecules are approximately 80 nucleotides in length. Their secondary structure includes four short double-helical elements and three loops (D, anti-codon, and T loops). Lineage: Archaea; Nanobdellati; Candidatus Woesearchaeota. The record is from RNAcentral.